Molecule: ribosomal RNA, 468 nt
Filed under: uncultured bacterium
Lineage: Bacteria
Description: partial 16S ribosomal RNA
Rfam family: Bacterial small subunit ribosomal RNA
Source: RNAcentral
GACGAACGCUGGCGGCGUGCUUAACACAUGCAAGUCGAACGGAAAGGCCCUGCUUUUGUGGGGUGCUCGAGUGGCGAACGGGUGAGUAACACGUGAGUAACCUGCCCUUGACUUUGGGAUAACUUCAGGAAACUGGGGCUAAUACCGGAUAGGAGCUCCUGCUGCAUGGUGGGGGUUGGAAAGUUUCGGCGGUUGGGGAUGGACUCGCGGCUUAUCAGCUUGUUGGUGGGGUAGUGGCUUACCAAGGCUUUGACGGGUAGCCGGCCUGAGAGGGUGACCGGCCACAUUGGGACUGAGAUACGGCCCAGACUCCGACGGGAGGCAGCAGUGGGGAAUAUUGCACAAUGGGCGGAAGCCUGAGGCAGCAACGCCGCGUGCGGGAUGACGGCCUUCGGGUUGUAAACCGCUUUCGCCUGUGACGAAGCGUGAGUGACGGUAAUGGGUAAAGAAGCACCGGCUAACUACGUG